GAUGAACGCUGGCGGCGUGCCUAAUACAUGCAAGUCGAGCGAACGGACGAGAAGCUUGCUUCUCUGAUGUUAGCGGCGGACGGGUGAGUAACACGUGGAUAACCUACCUAUAAGACUGGGAUAACUUCGGGAAACCGGAGCUAAUACCGGAUAAUAUUUUGAACCGCAUGGUUCAAAAGUGAAAGACGGUCUUGCUGUCACUUAUAGAUGGAUCCGCGCUGCAUUAGCUAGUUGGUAAGGUAACGGCUUACCAAGGCAACGAUGCAUAGCCGACCUGAGAGGGUGAUCGGCCACACUGGAACUGAGACACGGUCCAGAAUACUACGGGAGGCAGCAGUAGGGAAUCUUCCGCAAUGGGCGAAAGCCUGACGGAGCAACGCCGCGUGAGUGAUGAAGGUCUUCGGAUCGUAAAACUCUGUUAUUAGGGAAGAACAUAUGUGUAAGUAACUGUGCACAUCUUAACGGUACCUAAUCAGAAAGCCACGGCUAACUACGUG
RNAcentral lists this ribosomal RNA (497 nucleotides) under uncultured bacterium. RNAcentral describes it as "partial 16S ribosomal RNA". It matches the Rfam family "Bacterial small subunit ribosomal RNA", at positions 28 to 507 of the family's 1533-position model. The record is from RNAcentral.